Molecule: long non-coding RNA, 413 nt
Organism: Lucilia cuprina (Australian sheep blowfly)
Lineage: Eukaryota; Metazoa; Arthropoda; Insecta; Diptera; Calliphoridae
Exons: 2
Source: RefSeq, a predicted model, not a curated record
GUACAUUCUUAACCUGUGCCUGGGUUUUGUCUUUAUGCCAAUGGCCAUAGCGGGCACUACUUGAGAAAGGAUAAAAAAAAUACCCAAAUUAAUAUUGAAAAAUAUUCAAAUACAUUCUAUUCUAUUGUCUAGUCUGUAAAUCAGUCUAUGAUCCAGUCUGUUGUCCAGGAAUAAAAAUAUUUUAAUAAGUACUCACCUAGUUGGAGCAUGAUAAUUGGUAUUCUGUGCCCGUCCAGCCAAGAAAGCAAAAUGACGCUGAUCCAAUUUAUCCUCAAUACAAUCCUCCAUGAUGUCUUUAAUAACUGGAGUCCAGCGAGACAUUUGAUAGGUGUGUUCGGUAAUACGCUCCUUACGUGGAACAUUAUAAGUUUUUUUACGUGACUAAAGGAAGAACAAAUAAAAUAAUUAAACAA